RNAcentral lists this transfer RNA (77 nucleotides) under Parasutterella muris. RNAcentral describes it as "Parasutterella sp. NM82_D38 tRNA-Arg". It matches the Rfam family "tRNA". From Rfam's summary of the family: Transfer RNA (tRNA) molecules are approximately 80 nucleotides in length. Their secondary structure includes four short double-helical elements and three loops (D, anti-codon, and T loops). RNAcentral also lists the same sequence under 1 other name. The record is from RNAcentral. Lineage: Bacteria; Pseudomonadati; Pseudomonadota; Betaproteobacteria; Burkholderiales; Sutterellaceae.
GCACCCGUAGCUCAUCUGGAUAGAGUACUGCCCUCCGAAGGCAGGGGUAGUGGGUUCGAACCCCGCCGGGUGCGCCA